UGCAAGUCGAACGAUGAUCCCCAGCUUGCUGGGGGGAUUAGUGGCGAACGGGUGAGUAACACGUGAGUAACCUGCCCUUGACUCUGGGAUAAGCGUUGGAAACGACGUCUAAUACCGGAUAUGACUCCUGGCCGCAUGGUCUGGGGGUGGAAAGAUUUUUUGGUCAAGGAUGGACUCGCGGCCUAUCAGGUAGUUGGUGAGGUAAUGGCUCACCAAGCCGACGACGGGUAGCCGGCCUGAGAGGGUGACCGGCCACACUGGGACUGAGACACGGCCCAGACUCCUACGGGAGGCAGCAGUGGGGAAUAUUGCACAAUGGGCGAAAGCCUGAUGCAGCAACGCCGCGUGAGGGACGACGGCCUUCGGGUUGUAAACCUCUUUUAGUAGGGAAGAAGGGAGCUUGCUCUUGACGGUACCUGCAGAAAAAGCACCGGCUAACUACGUGCCAGCAGCCGCGGUAAUACGUAGGGUGCAAGCGUUGUCCGGAAUUAUUGGGCGUAAAGAGCUCGUAGGCGGUUUGUCGCGUCUGCUGUGAAAUCUGGGGGCUCAACCCCCAGCCUGCAGUGGGUACGGGCAGACUAGAGUGCGGUAGGGGAGAUUGGAAUUCCUGGUGUAGCGGUGGAAUGCGCAGAUAUCAGGAGGAACACCGAUGGCGAAGGCAGAUCUCUGGGCCGUAACUGACGCUGAGGAGCGAAAGCAUGGGGAGCGAACAGGAUUAGAUACCCUGGUAGUCCAUGCCGUAAACGUUGGGAACUAGAUGUAGGGGCCAUUCCACGGUUUCUGUGUCGCAGCUAACGCAUUAAGUUCCCCGCCUGGGGAGUACGGCCGCAAGGCUAAAACUCAAAGGAAUUGACGGGGGCCCGCACAAGCGGCGGAGCAUGCGGAUUAAUUCGAUGCAACGCGAAGAACCUUACCAAGGCUUGACAUAUACCGGAAACGUCCAGAGAUGGUCGCCCCGCAAGGUCGGUAUACAGGUGGUGCAUGGUUGUCGUCAGCUCGUGUCGUGAGAUGUUGGGUUAAGUCCCGCAACGAGCGCAACCC
RNAcentral lists this ribosomal RNA (1041 nucleotides) under Frondihabitans sp. 736G146. Its description in RNAcentral is "bacterial SSU rRNA". It matches the Rfam family "Bacterial small subunit ribosomal RNA", at positions 56 to 1104 of the family's 1533-position model. Lineage: Bacteria; Bacillati; Actinomycetota; Actinomycetes; Micrococcales; Microbacteriaceae. The record is from RNAcentral.